Molecule: long non-coding RNA, 298 nt
Filed under: Brassica napus (rape)
Lineage: Eukaryota; Viridiplantae; Streptophyta; Magnoliopsida; Brassicales; Brassicaceae
Description: long non-coding RNA (BNAP_LNC024975)
Source: RNAcentral
GGGAAUCAGAGUGUUAUGGCAGAGCAACAAUAUGAGAUGAUCCAGCGAUCAUUCAACUGAAGAAGAUUGUGGAGGCCUUGAGGAGGACACUUAAGGAACGAUUGUGGACAGUGUAAAGAUAUAUGGAGAUGAGUGGAGAAUGUCGCGAAGAUGAGCAAUUGCGCAACUAAGAAUUCGAGGACGAAUUCUAUUAAAGGGAGGGGGGAGAAUGUAGAAACCCGUUAAAAAAGAGAAGAAUGGUCGAGUAUCACUGUGGUGGUCGAGUUGCGGGUGAUAAGGAUCGAUCGAGAAGUUUUGA